RNAcentral lists this long non-coding RNA (786 nucleotides) under Panax ginseng (ginseng). Its description in RNAcentral is "long non-coding RNA (PGIN_LNC018880)". Lineage: Eukaryota; Viridiplantae; Streptophyta; Magnoliopsida; Apiales; Araliaceae. The record is from RNAcentral.
UCACGGGAUAGUCCACAUGAUAGUCUAUCUGUUGAAAAUAUUGAAGACUAAAGGACAUUUGCUAAUGUCAUAUGGACUAAAUAUAGUCCACAGGAUAAUUCAUCUGUUGGAGAUGCUCUAAGGUGACAAUAGAGUGAGCAUUCGAUUAUUAACCGAACCGAAUACACAUUUCGGUUAUAACCGAAAAUCGAAUUUACAUUAUUUAGAAUAUCCAAAUAAUUACCCGAACUACAUGAUAGCCGAAUAACCGAAUAACCAAACUAAUUAUUCGGUUAAUGACCGAAUUUGAUGCAUCUUAAUGCUAAACACUUGGAUGCUUAAUAUCUGUUGCGCAGCAACUUUUUCAGAAUAUCUUACCACUGAUUCUUUUUUCUUUUUUUGGCUUUCAGAGAGAAGAAGAAGAUUGAAGAAAGAACAAGAUCACAAAGAAAAACCACUAGCUUCUCUUGAGAGCUCAUGAAGAACAUUUACACGAGUGCGACUAUGGGAGAUGAGGGAUCAUAGACACUUCUAAAUUUGCAGUCAAGCGUGGCAAGCAUCUUCACCUGACCUAAUGGAGAUUUUAGUUGAGAGACUGAGACUAUGAGAGUUCGAGACUUUGAGAGACUGAUGGUUGCUGGAUCUUAUCAUCACUAAUACUACAGCUGUUCUCCAUUUCAGAAGAGAAGAGAGAACAGAGAGAGUCCUGCAAUGAAAUAAUGAAUGUUGGGUCCCUGCCUAGAAUUGAAUGGCAGUCUCUCUCGUAGUAAUAUACUAAAAGAGUAAAAGUACAUAUUUGAAUAUUUU